GAAAAGCACCCCGGGAGGGGAGUGAAAGAGAACCUGAAACCGUAUGUCUACAAACAGUCGAAGCGCGUAUAAUUGCAGCGCGACGGCGUGCCUAUUGAAGAAUGAACCGGCGAGUUACUGUUACUAGCGAGGUUAAGUGGAAAACAUGGAGCCGAAGCGAAAGCGAGUCUGAAUAGGGCGAAUAGUUAGUGAUAGUAGACCCGAAACCGUAGUGAUCUAUCCAUGGCCAGGUUGAAGCACAGGUAAAAUUGUGUGGAGGACCGAACUCGUGAGCGUUGAAAAGCUUUGGGAUGAGCUGUGGAUAGGGGUGAAAUGCCAAUCGAACACGGAGAUAGCUGGUUCUCCCCGAAAUAGCUUUAGGGCUAGCCUCAUGGAGAGAGUAUAGGCGGUAGAGCACUGAUCGGGCUAGGGCCCAUACCGGGUACCGAACCUAGUCAAACUACGAAUGGCUAUACUUAUACAUGGGAGUCAGACUAUGAGUGAUAAGGCCCAUAGUCAAGAGGGAAACAGCCCAGACCACCAACUAAGGUCCCUAAUGCUGUACUAAGUGGCGAAGGAUGUGGAAUUUCUAAAACAACCAGGAUGUUGGCUUAGAAGCAGCCACCAUUUAAAGAGUGCGUAAUAGCUCACUGGUCGAGAGACUCUGCGCCGAAAAUGUCCGGGGCUAAAGUACAGAACCGAAGUUGUGGCAAAUGCUUAAUGCAUUUGGGUAGGGGAGCGUUCUUAUUGGAUUGAAGCAGUACCGGAAGGAGCUGUGGACUGGUAAGAAGUGAGAAUGCCGGUAUGAGUAGCGAAAAGAAAGGUGAGAAUCCUUUCCACCGAAAGCCUAAGGGUUCCUGAGCAACGAUCGUCGACUCAGGGUAAGUCGGGACCUAAGCCGAGGCGGAAAAGCGUAGGCGAUGGACAACAGGUUGAAAUUCCUGUACUAGUAUGAAUUGUUUGAUCGAUGGAGUGACGCAGUAAGAUAGGUCAGCACGAGGAUGGAAAUUCGUGUUUAAGCGUGUAGGUGAAGUGGCAGGCAAAUCCACCACUUCAAAAGCUGAGGCGUGAUGAGGAGUUACUGGCGAUAGUGACGAACUGAUUGAUUCUACACUGCCGAGAAAAGCUUCUAGGUAGAGACAUACUACCCGUACCGAAACCGACACAGGUGGGCGGGGAGAGAAUCCUAAGGUGCGCGGGAAAACCCUCGUUAAGGAACUCGGCAAAAUGCCUCCGUAACUUCGGGAAAAGGAGGACUCAUGUAGUGUGAAGAGCAGUAACGCUUGGAGCAUGAAUGAGUGGCACAAGAGAGGCGCAAGCGACUGUUUACCACAAACACAGGUGCCUGCUAAAGCGAAAGCUGAUGUAUAGGUGCUGACACCUGCCCGGUGCUGGAAGGUUAAGAGGAGGGGUUAGGAGUAAUCCGAAGCUCUGAAUUGAAGCCCCAGUAAACGGCGGCCGUAACUAUAACGGUCCUAAGGUAGCGAAAUUCCUUGUCGGGUAAGUUCCGACCCGCACGAAAGGUGUAACGACUUGCGCACUGUCUCAACGAGGGACCCGGUGAAAUUGAAGUACCUGUGAAGAUGCAGGUUACCCGCGACUGGACAGAAAGACCCCAUGGAGCUUUACUGCAACCUAAGAUUGAAUUUAGUUAUUGAAUGUACAGGAUAGGUGGGAGACUUAGAAACUAGGGCGCCAGUCUUAGUGGAGUCAUUGUUGGGAUACCACCCUUUCCAUAAUUGAAUUCUAACGGGAAGACUAACACCCUUCCGGACAGUCUUAGGCGGGCAGUUUGACUGGGGCGGUCGCCUCCGAAAAUGUAACGGAGGCGCCCAAAGGUUCCCUCAGAGCGGACGGAAAUCGCUCGAAGAGUGUAAAGGCAGAAGGGAGCUUGACUGCGAGACGG
RNAcentral lists this ribosomal RNA (1885 nucleotides) under human gut metagenome. RNAcentral's name for it is "bacterial LSU rRNA". It matches the Rfam family "Bacterial large subunit ribosomal RNA", at positions 516 to 2383 of the family's 2925-position model. The record is from RNAcentral.